This 327-nucleotide ribosomal RNA is filed under the name uncultured eukaryote. RNAcentral's name for it is "partial 18S ribosomal RNA". It matches the Rfam family "Eukaryotic small subunit ribosomal RNA", at positions 1470 to 1796 of the family's 1831-position model. The record is from RNAcentral.
CCCUUAGAUGUUCUGGGCUGCACGCGCGCUACACUGAUGCACUCAACGAGUUUACGACCUUGUCCGAGAGGAUUGGGUAAUCUUUUUAAAAUGCAUCGUGAUGGGGAUAGAUUAUUGCAAUUAUUAAUCUUGAACGAGGAAUUCCUAGUAAACGCAGAUCAUCAAUCUGCAUUGAUUACGUCCCUGCCCUUUGUACACACCGCCCGUCGCACCUACCGAUUGAAUGGUCCGGUGAAGCCUCGGGAUUGUGGCGAGUUCCCUUUAUUGGGAGUUUGUCGCGAGAACUUGUCUAAACCUUAUCAUUUAGAGGAAGGUGAANUCGUANCA